GGAGAGGUGGCCGAGUGGCCGAAGGCAAUCGCCUGCUAAGCGAUUGAGGGUUGAAGAAAUCCUCCGUGGGUUCGAAUCCCACCCUCUCCGCCA
Molecule: transfer RNA, 93 nt
Filed under: Candidatus Tectimicrobiota bacterium
Lineage: Bacteria; Pseudomonadati; Candidatus Tectimicrobiota
Description: tRNA-Ser
Rfam family: tRNA
About the family: Transfer RNA (tRNA) molecules are approximately 80 nucleotides in length. Their secondary structure includes four short double-helical elements and three loops (D, anti-codon, and T loops).
Source: RNAcentral